This 253-nucleotide ribosomal RNA is filed under the name uncultured bacterium. RNAcentral describes it as "partial 16S ribosomal RNA". It matches the Rfam family "Bacterial small subunit ribosomal RNA", at positions 524 to 776 of the family's 1533-position model. The record is from RNAcentral.
UACGUAGGUGGCAAGCGUUGUCCGGAAUUAUUGGGCGUAAAGCGCGCGCAGGCGGUCCUUUAAGUCUGAUGUGAAAGCCCACGGCUCAACCGUGGAGGGUCAUUGGAAACUGGGGGACUUGAGUGCAGAAGAGGAGAGUGGAAUUCCACGUGUAGCGGUGAAAUGCGUAGAGAUGUGGAGGAACACCAGUGGCGAAGGCGGCUCUCUAGUACGGUACUGACGCUGAGACGCGAAAGCGUGGGGAGCGAACAGG